GCCAUAGCUCAGUGGCAGAGCAGCUGCCUUGCAUGUAGAAGGUCCCAGGUUCAAUCCCUGGAAUGUCCA
Molecule: non-coding RNA, 69 nt
Organism: Podarcis lilfordi (Lilford's wall lizard)
Lineage: Eukaryota; Metazoa; Chordata; Lepidosauria; Squamata; Lacertidae
Source: the annotation of a GenBank genome assembly